This 2205-nucleotide long non-coding RNA is filed under the name Marmota monax (woodchuck). The record is from RNAcentral. Lineage: Eukaryota; Metazoa; Chordata; Mammalia; Rodentia; Sciuridae.
GUACAUAUGUUAACUGCAUCUUCCUUCUUGCAGGAUUGAAUCUAUGCAGCUGUAUAUAGUCCAACCUGUGAAUCCAGAACUCAGUGCAGGACCCAUCACUGGAUUAAUUGACAGGCUCAACAGCUUCCGAGGUAAGCAUAAGCCCAUUGUCAGUAUUCUCUCAAUCUAUUAUUUGUUGUUAGGACCACAUGAGUGGAAUUUCUCUUUCAUUAAAUAUUUUACUUAUUUUUAGAAGUAAAUAAUUUGACUGCAAAUUCUUGAGUAUGUUUCUAUAGUCAAAUUUAUAGUAUAACGAGUGAAAGAUUUAAAAAAAAAAAAAAAAAUAACUACUUAAAUAGAAUCCAGGCUCAUAUGUCCUGAAUUAUAUAAAAAUGAUAUAAAAUUGGAAAUUUUAAUAAGCAGAGCUACACUCAGAUUUAAGAUUCAUUAUUCAAUUUCACAUACAAAUUUAUGCAGUUGUUCAGUAUGUUCAUUAUUGAAAAAAAAUUUGGUCCUGGCAUUUUAACUUGGGGCCUCACACAUAUUAGGCAAGCACCACACCACUUAGCCAGUAAUGCAGCCCCCAGAUUUUUUUUUUUUUGAAACAGUCUCACUAAUUUGCCCAAGCUGGCCUUGAACUUUUCAUCUGCUUAUCCCAGUCUUCUGGGCUUUCAGGCUUAAGCCACCUCAUCCUGCUUAAUUUGAAUUGUUAGGAGAAGCUUUGGGGGGUAAAUAUUUGACUAGAACUUUAUGUUGUUUUUACCAUGGGUAUAUAUGAUUAAAUGACAUAAAAUUUUGAAUAGCUAUAGGAAAUCUAAGAGAAGAAAUCAGCUUUAUCACCAAGAAAGGAAAAUACACAUAAAAUUGAUUUUGGUUUGCUCAAUAUAAAGAGCUAUAUGUUAAAUCUCAGACAUGAAGGGCAAUGCAGAGCAUGCAGAAAACUUAGGGAUAGUGAAAAGUUUUGCAUAAAUAAAUUUUAAAUUAUUCUUUCUAAAAUUACUGAAUUUGAGGAAUAACAGAAAGGAUUAAUAUGGAUUCCAACAACAUUUAUAAGAUAUUUGAAUAUUUAGUAACUAUGAAUAAGAAUUAAUUUUACCAAGUGAUAAUUUCUAAAAUGUAUAAAUGUUAUUUUUAUCCAGUUAUCUAGAAAAGGUUACAAGAGAGAAAAUCUUCACCUCUCAUCCAAAUAAUGACACCAUUUUUUUGAAAUAGGAAUAUUUUUCUGAUACUUAUUUUUGAUGCCUCCAGAGAAUUCAGGGCAUCCUCUCUGUAGCUAUUUUGAAAUAAAAAUUAAAUUAAAAGACAUUAGUUUUAUAUUUGUCUCAUCUGUAUCUGUGGUAAGGAAUUUGUUUGUUCUGUAGAUUUACUAUUUAUGCCCAUAAUUUAUUAGAUUUUACAACCAAAAUCUUUGUUGCUGUUACAAUUUCACAUUUCUCAGUAGUAUCAUUUCUUCUCAGAAAGACUUUUUUUAGAACUUUAACUUAUUAUUUACAUACAUGUCUGCAAUAUUUUUCUUACAGUUGAUAUUACUCUGUGUCAUGAAAAAGUCUACUCCCACAUCUUCCUGUAUGGAGAGUUGAGAAGUGUGAAUGUUGCAUGCAGUCCACAAGGUUCCUCCUUGAUCAUUCCAACAUCAGAAUGCUUUCUUGCCUGGGGUACUCACACUUUUUCCACUGGCAGAUAUUACUGGGAGGUGGAAGUGGGAGACUCUUGGAACUGGGCUUUGGGAGUCUGUAAUGAUGAUUGGAAAAAUAACAGAAAUUACAAGAUAAAUGAGGUGGAGGGGCUCUUCCUUCUUGGAUGUGUUAAGGAGGGUUCCCAAUGCACUCUCUUUACCACCUCCCCACUUGCCCUUCAAUAUGUACCAAGACCUAUUGGCCUAAUAGGAGUAUUCCUGGAUUAUGAAGGCAGAACAGUGAGCUUCAUUAAUGUUGCUCAAAGUUCGCUGAUACACAGUAUUCUUUUCUGUUCCUUUUCUCCCCUUGUCAAUGCUGUUUUCUGCUGUAGUCACAUCUGACCAGACAUAGAUAAGGACUAUGCCCCAAUAUAUGAAAAAUUAAAAAUCCAAGGAAGCCCUCUUCCUUGGGUAUUAUCAAACAGGUUAUAUUUUAUUAACUUUACAUUCCUUCUAAUGUUGUGAAAACUUGUUUACUUUGUUAUUAAUUAUGGUGAUAAUAUUAAAAGCUCAUAUAUUCCUAAAAUUAGUUUUUUUUUAAAAUUUAUUCA